Molecule: ribosomal RNA, 216 nt
Filed under: uncultured Pseudomonadales bacterium
Lineage: Bacteria; Pseudomonadati; Pseudomonadota; Gammaproteobacteria; Pseudomonadales
Description: partial 16S ribosomal RNA
Rfam family: Bacterial small subunit ribosomal RNA
Source: RNAcentral
UGCUAGGAAUCUGCCUGGUAGUGGGGGACAACGUUUCGAAAGGAACGCUAAUACCGCAUACGUCCUACGGGAGAAAGCAGGGGACCUUCGGGCCUUGCGCUAUCAGAUGAGCCUAGGUCGGAUUAGCUAGUUGGUGAGGUAAUGGCUCACCAAGGCGACGAUCCGUAACUGGUCUGAGAGGAUGAUCAGUCACACUGGAACUGAGACACGGUCCAG